GGUUGACCUCGGAUCAGGUAGGGAUACCCGCUGAACUUAAGCAUAUCAAUAAGCGGAGGAAAAGAAACCAACCGGGAUUGCCUCAGUAACGGCGAGUGAAGCGGCAAGAGCUCAAAUUUGAAAUCUGGCCCCU
This 133-nucleotide ribosomal RNA is filed under the name Aspergillus chevalieri. RNAcentral's name for it is "partial 28S ribosomal RNA". It matches the Rfam family "Eukaryotic large subunit ribosomal RNA", at positions 1 to 130 of the family's 3401-position model. RNAcentral also lists the same sequence under 1 other name. The record is from RNAcentral. Lineage: Eukaryota; Fungi; Ascomycota; Eurotiomycetes; Eurotiales; Aspergillaceae.